This 254-nucleotide ribosomal RNA is filed under the name uncultured bacterium. Its description in RNAcentral is "partial 16S ribosomal RNA". It matches the Rfam family "Bacterial small subunit ribosomal RNA", at positions 524 to 776 of the family's 1533-position model. The record is from RNAcentral.
UACGGAGGGUGCGAGCGUUGUCCGGAAUCAUUGGGCGUAAAGGGCGCGUAGGUGGCCUGUGCAAGCGUGCGGUGAAAGCUCGGGGCUCAACCCCGAGUCGGCCGUGCGAACUGCUGGGCUCGAGCACUGUAGAGGCAGGCGGAAUUCCGGGUGUAGCGGUGGAAUGCGUAGAGAUCCGGAAGAACACCGGUGGCGAAGGCGGCCUGCUGGGCAGUGGCUGACACUGAGGCGCGACAGCGUGGGGAGCAAACAGG